GGAGUUGUAAACUGGCAUAAAAUGGGGUUUAGAAUCCAGGGCUAAUUGCGUUGGGCAAGGUAAUCUGGACGAACGCUUGGGCUCUGGUUGGGAAUUUCCUGAAGACGGGUGUGAUUCGUUUGCUGAAUACCUUGGACCUCCGUCGUCUUUUUGACGGACGCUAAUUGCCUACUCUGGACUGACUGACUGAUUGACUGGCUGACUGACUGACUACGACCUCGGACUAUCCUUCCUGUGGCUAUCGUUGGAACUGGUGAACUACAAACAUCUGUACCUGGCUUAUGACCUUCGGACCGGAUUGGGACCUCGCUGACCGCUGCUGCCCCUGAUUGAUGUGUUUGAACUCGGAGAUUGUUUGCUGCUCGGAGGAGUAACUUCUUAGUUACUCAAUCACAGCUUUUGGUUGCAGAGAAGUAUCUGCUGCCAGUUAUUUGUGUUUCUUUGAACCUUUGUUUACCAGCUUCUGUUUGUUUAUAGUCCCAGGCUGAAGUAAGCAUUUUUGGUUUAACCCGGAUUAAACUCCAGUUUAAUCCGGUUUAUCUUUUGAACGUUUUUUAGUUCCUUUUUACUUUGAAGGCCAGUGUUUGCCUUGCCCUUUGUCUUUUACGGGCAUUUUUGGUUCUGUAACUUUAAUAAACUGUGUUGAAUCUUA
Molecule: long non-coding RNA, 652 nt
Organism: Anolis carolinensis (green anole)
Lineage: Eukaryota; Metazoa; Chordata; Lepidosauria; Squamata; Anolidae
Exons: 2
Source: RefSeq, a predicted model, not a curated record